GUUUUCGAUCAACCCGUAGAACUGAAAUCGUGUUUGAUUUUUGCAACACGAUUCUGUUCUCGGGUCGAUUGCUUGC
This is a non-coding RNA of Brugia malayi, 76 nucleotides long. NCBI's taxonomy places the organism in Eukaryota, Metazoa, Nematoda, Chromadorea, Rhabditida, Onchocercidae. The record is from RefSeq and is a predicted model, not a curated record.